AUGGCGCCGUGGUGUUGGACGCUGUCGACGGAGCUCGUUCCGCGGAGACCCGGCGCUGGACCUGGGCGGCGAGGUGCAGAGGAAACGGCUGCGCUCGAGGCAGGACGGGAUCUCGGGGAUACAUACGAUUUAUGCUUUGUGCGUGCUGCUGCUGCGAUUUUCCUGCUGCUUUGUUGUAGACACAUACUCAAGUUGGGUCAUCUAUUUUGGAAUGGAGGGAGUACAAGAGUUGCUAAUGCAGAUGCUUAUAGGUCUGCUGCAUGUGAAUUUUGUUCUGAAUGCUGA
Molecule: ribosomal RNA, 285 nt
Filed under: Triticum aestivum (bread wheat)
Lineage: Eukaryota; Viridiplantae; Streptophyta; Magnoliopsida; Poales; Poaceae
Description: partial small subunit ribosomal RNA
Source: RNAcentral